Molecule: long non-coding RNA, 350 nt
Organism: Paramacrobiotus metropolitanus
Lineage: Eukaryota; Metazoa; Tardigrada; Eutardigrada; Parachela; Macrobiotidae
Exons: 3
Source: RefSeq, a predicted model, not a curated record
CGAUGACGUUGUGCAGAUCACCUACACUACCGAAAGCAAUUUUGUGGAUCGGAAUCCGAACACCAAUGUGAUUCUUGCAGCGUUUACAACAUGCUGGGCUCGCCUUCACUUGCUGAACUUCAUGGAAAUGGUGGAAGGUCGUUUGUUAUAUUUCGAUACAGAUUCCAUAUUUUUUGUAAGCCGACCGGGUUUUGCGGAUCCACCGACGGGUAUGUUUCUUGGCGACCUUACCAAUGAAUUGAAACCGGGCCAGCAUAUUGUACAGUUCGUUAGCUUGGGAGCAAAAACUUAUUCCUACGUCACCAAUGAUGGAGACAGUGUUGUGAAAGUUAAAGGAUUCACGAUAAACA